Molecule: ribosomal RNA, 454 nt
Filed under: uncultured Bacteroidota bacterium
Lineage: Bacteria; Pseudomonadati; Bacteroidota
Description: bacterial SSU rRNA
Rfam family: Bacterial small subunit ribosomal RNA
Source: RNAcentral
GAUGAACGCUAGCGGCAGGCUUAAUACAUGCAAGUCGAGGGGCAGCGCGGGUAGCAAUACCUGGCGGCGACCGGCAAACGGGUGCGGAACACGUACGGCAACCUUCCCAAAACUGGGGAAUAGCCCUCCGAAAGGAGGAUUAAUACCCCGUAACAUAACGAAGAGGCAUCUUUUUGUUAUUAUAGCUCAGGCGGUUUUGGAUGGGCGUGCGGCUGAUUAGGUAGUUGGCGGGGUAACGGCCCACCAAGCCUGCGAUCAGUAACUGGUGUGAGAGCACGACCAGUCACACGGGCACUGAGACACGGGCCCGACUCCUACGGGAGGCAGCAGUAAGGAAUAUUGGUCAAUGGACGCAAGUCUGAACCAGCCAUGCCGCGUGAAGGAUGAAGGCCCUCUGGGUUGUAAACUUCUUUUAUCUGGGACGAAAAAAGGGAAUUCUUUCUCACUUGACGGU